GGCUUAACACAUGCAAGUCGAACGAUGUAGCAAUACAUAGUGGCGCACGGGUGAGUAACGCGUGGGAAUGUACCUUAUAGUGGGGAAUAACGUUGGGAAACUAACGCUAAUACCGCAUACGCCCGAGAGGGGAAAGAUUUAUCGCUAUAAGAUCAGCCCGCGUGAGAUUAGGUAGUUGGUGGGGUAAUGGCCUACCAAGCCUACGAUCUCUAGCUGGUCUGAGAGGAUGAUCAGCCACACUGGAACUGAGACACGGUCCAGACUCCUACGGGAGGCAGCAGUGGGGAAUAUUGGGCAAUGGAGGAAACUCUGACCCAGCCAUGCCGCGUGAAUGAUGAAGGCCUUAGGGUUGUAAAGUUC
Molecule: ribosomal RNA, 360 nt
Filed under: uncultured organism
Description: bacterial SSU rRNA
Rfam family: Bacterial small subunit ribosomal RNA
Source: RNAcentral